Non-coding RNA from Salvia hispanica, 367 nucleotides. Lineage: Eukaryota; Viridiplantae; Streptophyta; Magnoliopsida; Lamiales; Lamiaceae. The record is from RefSeq and is a predicted model, not a curated record.
UACUCUCCCGGCCCAGGUGGAUGCAUGAACUCGAGUCAUGCAGGUCACGGGCGCUCUCCUUGCAGGCUGGACGAGCCAGAAGGCGGCUUUUCCUUUUAACCAUGCAAAACAUAGAUAUAUACUCUUAUGAUGAUAGGCAGUAUGCAGUAAAUGAAAAUGGUGAUGAGCACACCACAUACGCAAAGUUUAGGGUUUUACAUGCUUUUGACUAUCUGUGUAGCUAUGAAUGAAGACAUAGAUAGCAAAGAAGGGCAUGUAAAACUAAAAGCUAGUUUAUCUGUCUUUUUAGCUAGAGAACAGAAAAGGGCUCUUACAUUUACAAUGUAAACUACUCAAGGAUCCAUCUUAUUUUUACUGGAAUCAUUUU